Molecule: non-coding RNA, 135 nt
Organism: Triticum urartu
Lineage: Eukaryota; Viridiplantae; Streptophyta; Magnoliopsida; Poales; Poaceae
Source: Rfam
UAUGUACUCCCUCCGUCCGAAAAUACUUGUCAUCAAAAUGGACAAAAAUGGGUGUAUCUAGAACUAAAAUACAUCUAGAUACAUCCCCUUUUAUUCAUUUUGAUGACAAGUAUUUCCGGACGGAGGGAGUAUAUC